Small nuclear RNA from Hemicordylus capensis (graceful crag lizard), 104 nucleotides. Lineage: Eukaryota; Metazoa; Chordata; Lepidosauria; Squamata; Cordylidae. The record is from RefSeq and is a predicted model, not a curated record.
UUGCUCACUUUGGCAGCACAUAUACUAAAAUUGGAAUGAUACAGAGAAGAUUAGCAUGGCCCCUGCGUCUUCUGAUUAUUUAAUUGUUGUUUUAUUAUGUUUUU